RNAcentral lists this long non-coding RNA (296 nucleotides) under Homo sapiens (human). Its description in RNAcentral is "non-protein coding lnc-GTF2H2-7:4". Lineage: Eukaryota; Metazoa; Chordata; Mammalia; Primates; Hominidae. The record is from RNAcentral.
AAACGCUUGUAGGGCUUCACCAGGGCUGGUGAAUUACCAGAUCUCCGUCAAGUGCAGUAACCAGUUCAAGUUGGAAGUGUGUCUUUUGAAUGCAGAAAACAAAGUCGUGGACAACCAGGCUGGGACCCAGGGCCAGCUGAAGGUGCUGGGUGCCAACCUCUGGUGGCCGUACCUGAUGCACGAACACCCCGCCUACCUGUACUCGUGGGAGGAUGGUGAUUGCUCACACCAAAGCCUUGGACCCCUCCCAGCCUGUGACCUUUGGGACCAACUCCACCUACGCAGCAGACAAGGGG